CUUGGUUCCAAGGCCACAAAUCGGAAGAACUGAGCAUCUCGAUCCUGAAAGUAGCUCUCCUGUCGUACUGCAUGGACAAGGGAAGGUGAUUCCAGGGCAUAAAGGAGGAAAUAAGGAGGAUCAAGUCAAGAAAUGAUUUCAUUCCACCACUAAGAUUGCAAGGAAGAUAUUCCACCAAAUCACCAUCUCAUUUACCUCUUACUAAAGCUUUGUUUUAUCUCUAGAAUUCACAGUCAUGAUAAAGAACGGGAAUCAAAUUAUGGAUUCCAGGAAACCAAAGAAAGUGACACUUACCAUGAGCCAGUACUCCUUCAUCCAUCAACACUUGACAAAGCCCAAGGGCCUGGCUGCGGGUCU
Pantherophis guttatus is the source of this 357-nucleotide non-coding RNA. The record is from RefSeq and is a predicted model, not a curated record. Lineage: Eukaryota; Metazoa; Chordata; Lepidosauria; Squamata; Colubridae.